UAGCAGAAAAAUCUGAUAAUUUCAGUCAAG
RNAcentral lists this non-coding RNA (30 nucleotides) under Rattus norvegicus (Norway rat). Lineage: Eukaryota; Metazoa; Chordata; Mammalia; Rodentia; Muridae. The record is from RNAcentral.